Molecule: ribosomal RNA, 970 nt
Filed under: Salmonella enterica
Lineage: Bacteria; Pseudomonadati; Pseudomonadota; Gammaproteobacteria; Enterobacterales; Enterobacteriaceae
Description: partial 23S ribosomal RNA
Rfam family: Bacterial large subunit ribosomal RNA
Source: RNAcentral
GGUUAAGCGACUAAGCGUACACGGUGGAUGCCCUGGCAGUCAGAGGCGAUGAAGGGCGUGCUAAUCUGCGAUAAGCGCCGGUAAGGUGAUAUGAACCGUUAUAACCGGCGAUACCCGAAUGGGGAAACCCAGUGUGACUCGUCACACUAUCAUUAACUGAAUCCAUAGGUUAAUGAGGCGAACCGGGGGAACUGAAACAUCUAAGUACCCCGAGGAAAAGAAAUCAACCGAGAUUCCCCCAGUAGCGGCGAGCGAACGGGGAGGAGCCCAGAGCCUGAAUCAGCAUGUGUGUUAGUGGAAGCGUCUGGAAAGACGCGCGAUACAGGGUGACAGCCCCGUACACAAAAGCGUAUGUGCUGUGAGCUCGAUGAGUAGGGCGGGACACGUGGUAUCCUGUCUGAAUAUGGGGGGACCAUCCUCCAAGGCUAAAUACUCCUGACUGACCGAUAGUGAACCAGUACCGUGAGGGAAAGGCGAAAAGAACCCCGGCGAGGGGAGUGAAAAAGAACCUGAAACCGUGUACGUACAAGCAGUGGGAGCACAGGUUUACCUGUGUGACUGCGUACCUUUUGUAUAAUGGGUCAGCGACUUAUAUUCUGUAGCAAGGUUAACCGAAUAGGGGAGCCGGAGGGAAACCGAGUCUUAAUUGGGCGUUAAGUUGCAGGGUAUAGACCCGAAACCCGGUGAUCUAGCCAUGGGCAGGUUGAAGGUUGGGUAACACUAACUGGAGGACCGAACCGACUAAUGUUGAAAAAUUAGCGGAUGACCUGUGGCUGGGGGUGAAAGGCCAAUCAAACCGGGAGAUAGCUGGUUCUCCCCGAAAGCUAUUUAGGUAGCGCCUCGUGAAUUCAUCUCCGGGGGUAGAGCACUGUUUCGGCUAGGGGGUCAUCCCGACUUACCAACCCGAUGCAAACUGCGAAUACCGGAGAAUGUUAUCACGGGAGACACACGGCGGGUGCUAACGUCCGUC